GCGACAGAGAGUAGAAAAAACUGUCUGUCUCUCUGCCAAUCAUAAAAUAAGCAACCUGCUGUCAAAUAAACAAAUAAACCAAUCUGAAAAGUUUAAAAUAAGUCAUUACUUCGGAUUUGACAGUGCACAAACCUGGAGAUCCUUCUCGUGUAGCUGGCAUUUGUUUCCAGGCAGAUAUUUUUCUAUAGGGGGGCACAGAGGCAUAGCUGGUAGCUUACAGCAGCAAGGUCCCCCAUCCAAUUCUGAUCCCAGGAUACUGCAAGAGAAGAGUUUUGUAGAGUGAUUCAUCCAGAUUGUCCAGUUUUCUUCCACCUCCACAGAACUUGCCAAGCAGAGGAUUGCUUAUGCCUAAAUUGGCCCCAGCCCUUGUUUGGCUUUGACUGGCACCACACAUUACCCUCGGCUCCAAUCACUUCUACAAAUUUUGUUAAGGUUUGUAACACUAAUUGUAACACCAAUCUUCUUAUCCCUACACUGAUUAACUGUUAAGUUUCAAAUUGACCACAAACUACCGCUACUUACCUACAAAACACUAAAUGGUU
Long non-coding RNA from Silurus meridionalis, 542 nucleotides. RefSeq lists it as uncharacterized. The record is from RefSeq and is a predicted model, not a curated record. NCBI's taxonomy places the organism in Eukaryota, Metazoa, Chordata, Actinopteri, Siluriformes, Siluridae. The transcript has 3 exons.